AACACGUAAAGAACCUGCCCUCAGGUCUGGGAUAACCACGAGAAAUCGGGGCUGAUACCGGAUGGGUCAUCGGACCGCAUGGUCCGAGGAUGAGAGGCGCUUCGGCGUCGCCUGGGGAUGGCUUUGCGGUGCAUUAGCUAGUUGGUGGGGUAAUGGCCCACCAAGGCGACGAUGCAUAGCCGACCUGAGAGGGUGAUCGGCCACACUGGGACUGAGACACGGCCCAGACUCCUACGGGAGGCAGCAGUAGGGAAUCUUCCACAAUGGACGAAAGUCUGAUGGAGCAACGCCGCGUGAACGAUGAAGGCCUUCGGGUCGUAAAGUUCUGUUGUAAGGGAAGAACAAGUGCCGCAGGCAAUGGCGGCACCUUGACGGUACCUUGCGAGAAAGCCACGGCUAACUACGUGCCAGCAGCCGCGGUAAUACGUAGGUGGCAAGCGUUGUCCGGAAUUAUUGGGCGUAAAGCGCGCGCAGGCGGCCUCUUAAGUCUGAUGUGAAAGCCCCCGGCUCAACCGGGGAGGGCCAUUGGAAACUGGGAGGCUUGAGUAUAGGAGAGAAGAGUGGAAUUCCACGUGUAGCGGUGAAAUGCGUAGAGAUGUGGAGG
Molecule: ribosomal RNA, 604 nt
Filed under: uncultured bacterium
Lineage: Bacteria
Description: bacterial SSU rRNA
Rfam family: Bacterial small subunit ribosomal RNA
Source: RNAcentral